Callithrix jacchus (white-tufted-ear marmoset) is the source of this 141-nucleotide small nuclear RNA. Its record names the gene U4. It matches the Rfam family "U4 spliceosomal RNA". From Rfam's summary of the family: U4 small nuclear RNA (U4 snRNA) is a component of the major U2-dependent spliceosome. The record is from Ensembl. Lineage: Eukaryota; Metazoa; Chordata; Mammalia; Primates; Cebidae.
CACUUUGCACAGUGGCAGUAUCGUAGCCAAUGAGGUUUAUCCAAGGCACGAUUAUUGCUCAUUGAAAACUUUUCCUAAUACCCCGCCAUAAUGACUUGAAAUACAGCCCGCAAUGGCAAUUUUUGACAGUCUCUAUGGGGA